CGGUAAUCUCCAGCUCCAAUAGCGUAUACUAAAGUUGUUGCAGUUAAAAAGCUCGUAGUUGGAUUUCUGCGGGGACGGAGCGGCCGGACGCAACUUGCGUCUCGAGCUAGCGCUUUCCCCGCAUCCUGCCGCGAACCGUGCUACCAUUAGUUUGGUGGCGCUGGGGAUCGGCUCAAUUACUUUGAGAAAAAUAGAGUGUUCAAAGCGGGCCACACGCCUUGAAUAAGUUAGCAUGGAAUAAUGACUAAGGACUUUGGUUCUUUUCGUUGGUGUUCGGGACUGAAGUAAUGAUUGAUAGGGACAGUUGGGGCGGUCCGUAUUCCAAAGCGAGAGGUGAAAUUCUUAGACCUUCGGAAGACGAACAGCUGCGAAAGCGUUCCGCAAGGAUGUUCCCUUUGAUCAAGAACGAAAGUUGGGGGAUCGAAGACGAUCAGAUACCGUCGAAGUCUCAACUAUAAACUAUACCAGCUAGGGAUCGGCCAACGUUUAAUUAUUCGACUUGGUCGGCACCUUAUGAGAAAUCAAAGCAUCUGGGUUCCGGGGGGAGUAUGGUCGCAAGGCUGAAACUUAAAGGAAUUGACGGAAGGGCACCACCAGGCGUGGAGCCUGUGGCUUAAUUUGACUCAACACGGGAAAACUUACCAGGUCCAGACAUAGGAAGGAUUGACAGAUUGAUAGCUCUUUCUUGAUUCUGUGGGUGGUGGUGCAUGGCCGUUUUUAGUCGGUGAAGUGAUUUGUCUGCUUAAUUGCGUUAAUGGACGAGAUUUUAGCCUGCUAAAUAGCGCGGCCGAGCUUUGCUCGGUACGAGCUUCUUAGAGGGACCAUGAUGCGCGAUAGCACAAGGAAGUUUGGGGCAACAACAGGUCUGUGAUGCCCUUAGAUGUUUUGGGCCGCACACGGGCUACACUGGCGCCUGCAAUGAGCAUAUCAGCUGGCCCGAGAGGGUCUUGGCUAAUCUUUGGAACUGGCGCCGUGCUUGGGAUUGACCAUUGCAAUCGUUGGUCAUGCAACGAGGAAUGCCUUGUAAACGCGAGUCAUCAGCUCGCAUUGAAUACGUCCCUGCCCUUUGUACACGCCGCCCGUCGCUCCUACCGAUGAAUGUUCCGAUGAAAUUUUCGGAGAGCGCCGGAGAACGGGGCUCUGCCCUGCAGAACUGGAGGCUCAAAGUCACUUAAAUCUGAACAUUUCGAGGAAGGAGAAGUCGUAACAAGGUAACC
RNAcentral lists this ribosomal RNA (1217 nucleotides) under uncultured Rhizaria. RNAcentral's name for it is "SSU rRNA". It matches the Rfam family "Eukaryotic small subunit ribosomal RNA", at positions 577 to 1804 of the family's 1831-position model. The record is from RNAcentral.